RNAcentral lists this ribosomal RNA (496 nucleotides) under uncultured bacterium. RNAcentral's name for it is "partial 16S ribosomal RNA". It matches the Rfam family "Bacterial small subunit ribosomal RNA", at positions 28 to 523 of the family's 1533-position model. The record is from RNAcentral.
GAUGAACGCUAGCGGCAGGCUUAACACAUGCAAGUCGAGGGGUAGAGUUAGCUUGCUAACUUGAGACCGGCGCACGGGUGCGUAACGCGUAUGCAAUCUACCUUGUACAGAGGGAUAGCCCAGAGAAAUUUGGAUUAAUACCUCAUAGUAUUAUUGAAUGGCAUCAUUUGAUUAUUAAAGUUCCAACGGUACAAGAUGAGCAUGCGUCCCAUUAGCUAGAUGGUAAGGUAACGGCUUACCAUGGCAACGAUGGGUAGGGGUCCUGAGAGGGAGAUCCCCCACACUGGUACUGAGACACGGACCAGACUCCUACGGGAGGCAGCAGUGAGGAAUAUUGGUCAAUGGGCGCAAGCCUGAACCAGCCAUGCCGUGUGCAGGAAGACGGUCCUAUGGAUUGUAAACUGCUUUUAUAUGGGAAGAAACCCUGCUACGUGUAGCAGCUUGACGGUACCGUAAGAGUAAGCAUCGGCUAACUCCGUGCCAGCAGCCGCGGUAA